GCCCUUGUAGCUCAGUCGGUAGAGCGCCGUCUUCGUAAGUCGGAUGCCGCAGGUUCAAUUCCUGUCGAGGGCUC
This 74-nucleotide transfer RNA is filed under the name Streptomyces phage Satis. Its description in RNAcentral is "tRNA-Thr". It matches the Rfam family "tRNA". Rfam says of the family: Transfer RNA (tRNA) molecules are approximately 80 nucleotides in length. Lineage: Duplodnaviria; Heunggongvirae; Uroviricota; Caudoviricetes. RNAcentral also lists the same sequence under 4 other names. The record is from RNAcentral.